Molecule: ribosomal RNA, 301 nt
Filed under: uncultured bacterium
Lineage: Bacteria
Description: partial 16S ribosomal RNA
Rfam family: Bacterial small subunit ribosomal RNA
Source: RNAcentral
CAGUCGCCGCGGUAAUACAGAGGGUGCGAGCGUUAAUCGGAUUUACUGGGCGUAAAGCGUGCGUAGGCGGCUUCUUAAGUCGGAUGUGAAAUCCCUGAGCUUAACUUAGGAAUUGCAUUCGAUACUGGGAAGCUAGAGUAUGGGAGAGGAUGGUAGAAUUCCAGGUGUAGCGGUGAAAUGCGUAGAGAUCUGGAGGAAUACCGAUGGCGAAGGCAGCCAUCUGGCCUAAUACUGACGCUGAGGUACGAAAGCAUGGGGAGCAAACAGGAUUAGAUACCCCGGUAGUCCCUGUCUCUUAUAA